RNAcentral lists this ribosomal RNA (212 nucleotides) under uncultured bacterium. Its description in RNAcentral is "partial 16S ribosomal RNA". It matches the Rfam family "Bacterial small subunit ribosomal RNA", at positions 8 to 207 of the family's 1533-position model. The record is from RNAcentral.
AGAGUUUGAUCCUGGCUCAGGAUAGAACGCUAGCGACAGGCUUAACACAUGCAAGUCGAGGGGCAGCGGGGAAGUAGCAAUACUUUCGCCGGCGACCGGCGCACGGGUUGAGUAACACGUGUUGCAACCAACCCCGUACCGGGAGAUAACCCGCGGAAACGUGGACUAACAUCCCAUAAUACGUGGAGGAUCGCAUGAUCUUUCAUUUAAAA